GCUCGUAGACUUUGCAGAGAUGGAUUGGUGCCUUCGGGACUCUGAGACAGGUGCUGCAUGGCUGUCGUCAGCUCGUGUUGUGAAAUGUUGGGUUAAGUCCCGCAACGAGCGCAACCCUUAUCCUUGUUUGCCAGCACUUAAUGGGGGAAACUCCAGGAAAACGGCCGGGGAUAAACCGAAGAAAGGGGGGAACAACUUCAAUUCUUCUGGGCCCUUACAAUUAGGGUUCCCCCCUUGCUACAUGGGCGUAUACAAAGGGCUGCCAACUCCCAAGAGUGACCGAAUCCCAAAAAGUAGUUCUAAUUCCGAAUUGAAUUCGGCACCUCACCUCCUUGAAUUCGAAUUCCCUAUUAUUCUGGAAUCAAAAUGCCACGGGGAUUACUUUCCCGGGUCUUGUACACACGGAUA
Molecule: ribosomal RNA, 408 nt
Filed under: uncultured bacterium
Lineage: Bacteria
Description: bacterial SSU rRNA
Rfam family: Bacterial small subunit ribosomal RNA
Source: RNAcentral